Molecule: ribosomal RNA, 445 nt
Filed under: uncultured bacterium
Lineage: Bacteria
Description: bacterial SSU rRNA
Rfam family: Bacterial small subunit ribosomal RNA
Source: RNAcentral
UGCUUAACACAUGCAAGUCGAGCGAUGAAGUUCUUCGGGAAAUGGAUUAGCGGCGGACGGGUGAGUAACACGUGGGUAACCUGCCUCAUAGAGGGGAAUAGCCUUUCGAAAGGAAGAUUAAUACCGCAUAAGAUUGUAAUGUCGCAUGACAUAGCAAUUAAAGGAGCAAUCCGCUAUGAGAUGGACCCGCGUCGCAUUAGCUAGUUGGUGAGGUAACGGCUCACCAAGGCGACGAUGCGUAGCCGACCUGAGAGGGUGAUCGGCCACAUUGGGACUGAGACACGGCCCAGACUCCUACGGGAGGCAGCAGUGGGGAAUAUUGCACAAUGGGGGAAACCCUGAUGCAGCAACGCCGCGUGAGUGAUGACGGUCUUCGGAUUGUAAAGCUCUGUCUUUAGGGACGAUAAUGACGGUACCUAAGGAGGAAGCCACGGCUAACUACGUG